GACGAACGCUGGCGGCGUGCUUAACACAUGCAAGUCGAACGGAAAGACCCUGCUUUUGUGGCGUGCUCGAGUGGCGAACGGGUGAGUAACACGUGAGUAACCUGCCCCUGACUUUGGGAUAACUUCAGGAAACUGGGGCUAAUACCGGAUAGGAGCUCCUGCUGCAUGGGGGUGGAUAGAAAGUUUCGGCGGUUGGGGAUGGACUCGCGGCUUAUCAGCUUGUUGGUGGGGUAGGUGCUUACCAAGGCUUUGACGGGUAGCCGGCCUGGGAGGUUGACCGGCCACAUUGGGACUGAGAUAGGGCCCAGACUCCUACGGGAGGCAGCGGUGGGGAAUAUUGCACAAUGGGGGGAAGCCUGAUGCAGCAACGCCGCGGGCGGGAUGCCGGCUUUCGGGUUGUAAACCGCUUUCGCCUGUGACGAAGCGUGAGUGACGGUAACUGGUAAAGAAGCACCGGCUAACUACGUG
RNAcentral lists this ribosomal RNA (468 nucleotides) under uncultured bacterium. RNAcentral describes it as "partial 16S ribosomal RNA". It matches the Rfam family "Bacterial small subunit ribosomal RNA", at positions 28 to 507 of the family's 1533-position model. The record is from RNAcentral.